AAGAGGAUCUUUGAACAAUCCAAGACAGGACACCUUUCAAUGUUCAAUUCUUUCAGAGCGAUAGGUAGCUUACCUUCAGGAAAGAUUUUGGGUUUAGAAAAAUCCAACAUAGCUAACCUUUUUAGAUGACUGCAGUGUUGCUCCAACAUGGAAUCAUCAGUAUUCAAAUCUUGAAUUUGCAACUUUUGAAGCCCACAAGGCAAUGGCUCCAAUCACAGUGCAUCACAUCUCCGUAAAUUAAGUUGGCGAAUGCUUGUUGUCCUUGGAAGCAAGCUUUGAAGAUUCUCGCAAUUUCUAAUCUCCAGUUUUGUUAAAGACCAAAGUGUUAAGCAUUGGCCUGCAAUGCAACAUUUGGCCAGCAAGAUAGGUAGCAGACCAGCAGUGAAGCAGAACCAAAUGCAGCAACUAGCUUAAGACCAUUUUGUUCUUUUUGUUCCAAUGUAACCAACUUUAGUUUGUUUGUAAUUUGUAAUCUAAGUUAGUAGGAUUUUUGAUGUAAUUGAUGUAAUGGCUAAUAUAUCAGCUUGCUUUGGC
Molecule: long non-coding RNA, 534 nt
Filed under: Gossypium barbadense (sea-island cotton)
Lineage: Eukaryota; Viridiplantae; Streptophyta; Magnoliopsida; Malvales; Malvaceae
Description: long non-coding RNA (GBAR_LNC004184)
Source: RNAcentral